Paramuricea clavata is the source of this 1000-nucleotide non-coding RNA. The record is from the annotation of a GenBank genome assembly. Lineage: Eukaryota; Metazoa; Cnidaria; Anthozoa; Malacalcyonacea; Plexauridae.
CUGUGUGUAGACACUCAGAGCAACAGAAACAAGAAUUCAAGAUCUUGAAAACAUUCGGAUAUCGAAGGAACUAAACUGAAUGAGUUUCGAAAUAUCAUGCACUCCAGCAGACAUGUCCUCGUAGCUCAGUUGGCAGAGCACUGGAUUAGUAAACCAAAGGUCGCUUGUUCGAUGCCAAGCUAACUUUUCAGCUUGCCCGGUGUGGACACACUCAGAGCAACAUUACAUCUUCACCUGAAGUGCACAACACCAGAAACAAGAAUUGAAGUGAGGUUUUGUCGAAAUCCGUCAAGCGUCACCAAGCGAAUAUUGCAUGAAAUAUAAACGCUGUUUUUGACAAUGAAUUUUGUUAAUUAAUUAAGCAACUUGUGGCACAGUACCUGACGAGUGACGGCCAAAAUUGACUACAACAUAGUCCAACUAAAAAUGAAAUGUGAUCUGAAAGUUUCAAAUACAUUCAGAUGCUUCUCACGAAUGUUCUUUCUCAAAGCAAGGAAAUAGUUCGAUAGAUCUAAGCCCGGAUUAAACGAGGAUGAGAGUGGGUGUGUUGGUAUGAUUUCAGACGUUAUUAGAACUUUCGAUACGAUAACAGACUUACAUAAAGUACUGACUGAGAUAAGAGGCGAGCCCGCGGUAAAUAGGACGACAACGUGUAAACAACGUUUUGGUUUUUGGUUUUAAUACACCACAGUGUUUUACCGCUCAAAAGGCUCAAUAAUUCGACGAUAUUUGUAAAGAAAUAAAAGUUUAUACAUUGUUUAAGUACAUUAUCGUUUUCUUUGAGUAAUUAUGUUUGCAUGCGCGUUGAAAUACGUGGGUAUAUAGCGUUACCAAUACAGUAAAACACUAGUGAUCGAAGAAAUCAAUCAGGACGGUGACGUUCGUGAGCUAUAAAGAAGCCGACUUUAAAGGAGUUUUGCCUGCCAAAUACUCGAAGUUGCUUGACGUAGUUAUCAUUGGGUCAUUGGUCGAUGUUAUGAACUAAAAUAUGAGUGUCCAA